UAAGGAAUAUUGGUCAAUGGAGGCAACUCUGAACCAGCCAUGCCGCGUGAAGGAUUAAGGCCCUCUGGGUUGUAAACUUCUUUUAUAUGGGAAGAAAUGUACUUUUUCUAAAGUGCUUGACGGUACCAUAGGAAUAAGCACCGGCUAACUCCGUGCCAGCAGCCGCGGUAAUACGGAGGGUGCAAGCGUUAUCCGGAUUUACUGGGUUUAAAGGGUGCGUAGGCGGAUGAAUAAGUCAGUGGUGAAAUCCCCGAGCUUAACUUGGGAACUGCCGUUGAUACUAUAUAUCUUGAAUAUCGUAGAGNUAAGCGGAAUAUGUCAUGUAGCGGUGAAAUGCUUAGAGAUGACAUAGAGCACCAAUUGCGAAGGCAGCUUACUAUGCGAUUAUUGACACUGAGGCACGAAAGCGUGGGGAUCAAACA
This 422-nucleotide ribosomal RNA is filed under the name uncultured bacterium. RNAcentral describes it as "bacterial SSU rRNA". It matches the Rfam family "Bacterial small subunit ribosomal RNA", at positions 355 to 774 of the family's 1533-position model. The record is from RNAcentral.